UACGAAGGGGCUAGCGUUGCUCGGAAUCACUGGGCGUAAAGGGUGCGUAGGCGGGUCUUUAAGUCAGGGUGAAUCCUGGAGCUCAACUCCAGAACUGCCUUGAUACUGAAGAUCUUGAGUUCGGGAGAGGUGAGUGGAACUGCGAGUGUAGAGGUGAAAUUCGUAGAUAUUCGCAAGAACACCAGUGGCGAAGGCGGCUCACUGGCCCGAUACUGACGCUGAGGCACGAAAGCGUGGGGAGCAAACAGG
Molecule: ribosomal RNA, 249 nt
Filed under: uncultured bacterium
Lineage: Bacteria
Description: partial 16S ribosomal RNA
Rfam family: Bacterial small subunit ribosomal RNA
Source: RNAcentral